RNAcentral lists this unclassified non-coding RNA (425 nucleotides) under soil metagenome. RNAcentral describes it as "partial contains 5.8S ribosomal RNA, internal transcribed spacer 2, and large subunit ribosomal RNA". The stretch from base 1 to 120 matches the Rfam family "5.8S ribosomal RNA", at positions 35 to 154 of the family's 154-position model. The record is from RNAcentral.
GAUGAAGAACGUAGCGAAAUGCGAUAAGUAGUGUGAAUUGCAGAAUUCCGUGAAUCAUCGAAUCUUUGAACGCACAUUGCGCCUUCUGGUAUUCCGGAAGGCAUGCCUGUUCGAGAGUCAUUAACAACCGUUUCGAUCCCUUUCUUUCAGAAAUUACAAAGAGGAAAAGGGUUUGGUUAUGGUGGAGGAGGGAAAGGGAGCGUUUAGCCUGUAAAAAAAGAGGCUGUGUUCCGCAUACCCCCCAAAAUUGUACAGGCGGUCGUGUGCGCCCACGCAUCGAGGUGUUGUAAAAGCUGCCACGGCACUUUUCACCUGUGCAGUGCGAGAUUGGCCAGCCGGUUUAAAAACCCCUCCAAACAAUCAAAGGUUGACCUCGGAUCAGGUAGGGAUACCCGCUGAACUUAAGCAUAUCAAUAAGCGGAGGA